AGUGCCUGCCUGCCACGCCUGCAUUCCAAGCAGGGUCUCCUUGUCUCUCCUGCAGGGACCUCACUACUGCUGCUGCCAAUUAACCUCCUCCAACACAACAAAUAACCUUAACAAAGAAUACUUUUAAAAAUCCUGUCCUGUUUCGGCCACUCAACGAGCAAGGCCUGGGAAGGGCAGAGACGGAGGCCUGCAGCUUCAUACAGACCAGACCUUGUAAAGGAACUAUCUGAAGAUGACCCAUGUUGAUAUUGAAUGAUCUGCCUCUGGAUCCUCUUGCAAACCUGUGGAUGCCCUACUAGCAGUGUCAGAUCCUCCCCAGAUACGGUGUGUAUAUAUUUAAAAGUUCUGAGGCACUGAGAUUGUAGUGGCUGUGGCCCACAUGAUGAGGAAAAUAUCUCAGAGUAAAGAUAAAGGUAAAAGUAAA
Molecule: long non-coding RNA, 424 nt
Organism: Hemicordylus capensis (graceful crag lizard)
Lineage: Eukaryota; Metazoa; Chordata; Lepidosauria; Squamata; Cordylidae
Exons: 3
Source: RefSeq, a predicted model, not a curated record